Molecule: long non-coding RNA, 1815 nt
Organism: Sardina pilchardus (European sardine)
Lineage: Eukaryota; Metazoa; Chordata; Actinopteri; Clupeiformes; Clupeidae
Exons: 4
Source: RefSeq, a predicted model, not a curated record
UCUGGUGAUUAAACUUCUUCUCCAACUCCAAGACUUGCAGGUGUGUGAACGCAGCCCGCGAGCGCUUAUGCUUGGCGCUGUCUGAUGAUGGUGCAGGGCUCGAGCCAGAAGACUCGAUGGAUUCUACAAGAAUACAAGAACUGUCAUCCCGUAUGUCACUGCAACUUGAGGCUCGUCGUUUCUCUUCUUUCAUUGAGAGGAUAUCUUCAAUGAAAAACGAUGUCAGCUGCUUCUCCGACCCUGCCAUUUCCGUCGUUUAGAUCCCAAAUCAGAGCAAAGGAGAUGCACCCUAAACGCCAAUUCAAAGGAAAGCACUCAGAACAUCCCAAGCGAAAGUUACUGCCUUUCGGUCCGAUCUGACAGCGAGCAGCAGGCUUCAGGCAAGCUGCCCUGUGCAGGCUAGCAGAGUCCCUGUUGCGCAGGCUGGGCUGGCUCUUGUAAAUCGGGGGCCCCACGGCCCACCUCCAGCCCCCCCGCGCCUCCAUGCCCGUGGGCACGGCUGGGUCUGAGGAGACGGACGGGCACGGUUUGCUCUGGAGCAGCUGGAAGAGCAUGGCGAUCUCCGGCCCCAGGCGGGUCACCAGGCUGGCCCGCAACAGGUCCACUGUCUCCUCAUCACACUCCAUCAGGCUUUGCAGAAGCUUUCCAUAGAACCUGACGGAACAGGGAGAAGUGGGGAAAUUAUUACUCUGAUCCAGUCCAGAGUUUUUCUCUUUUUUUUUUUUUGAGCCCAUGCUCUAAACCGACAACUCAAGAGCCAUGAGGAGCAAUGAACUGCAGACUCCAUGUUGAAGCACAGACAACAUUGUCUUCAGAGUAUCAUCAUCAUCAUAAUCAUCAAGGUCAUCAUCAACAUCAACAUCUCUCACUACCUACUGUUUAUUUACCCCUCCUUAUUACAGCUGUGGCACAAGACUUUCAUUAUACUGCAAAGUAUAUGUGACAAUAAACUUGAACUUGAACUUGAACAUUAUCUUCAUCAUCAUCAUCAGCAUCACUAUCAUCACUAUCAUCAUCAACAACAUUAUCUUCAUAAUCAUCAUCACUACCACCAUCAUCAACAACAUUAUCUUCAUCAUUAUCAUCCUCAUCAUCAUCAUCAUCACCACUCUCAUCAUCAUCACGGUCAGCUCUUUACCUGUUGGGGAAGUGGCUGGGGAGCUGGGCCACCUCAGCGAUGGCGUCUGGGUUGGAGCGCGCCACGGUGCAGAUGUCCAGCUUACUGUAGCACUCCUCCUGCACCUCCGAGAUCAUGCGCUGAAACGUUGAGCACCGCCGCACUGUCAGGAAGACCUUCGACGUAAUUCCAUUUGCGAUACACUUUAGGCUCUCCUUCACAAAGGCCUUGCCCUGCAGGAAUGUUGAUGAGAGUCAUGUUAUCACACUGAAAGAACCCUGUCACUCACGAGCCCGCCUGCUAUCAUAACUAUAGACUAUAUGAAAUCUGACAAAUACACGUCCAUAAACUUGACGAGCUGUUGACGGCCCAUAUCAUUGAAACAUUGGAGUAGAUAAAGUCCAAGUAAUGGUGCCUCUAGCCAUACGAUUUAGCAAUAAUAAAGGGCAAAGUAAAGGCAAUCUAAAUAUAGCCUUUUCACUCGUUUUACCCCCACUGGUAGCACCACUGAGUUGGAGCCAGGCCAAGAUUUAAAUGGCCAUGUUGCCUUCCUAUGUCCACACACCUACCUGAGUGUCAAAUUUGGCCGCGCUGUAGAGGAAGGACUUGCAGAUGUCAUGCAUGCCAUCUGUGUCACACGUGGAGUUCUCCAGACAGGCGAAGGCGCCACAGCCCACCUGAAGGGCACUGUUCAGACA